GAUGAACGCUGGCGGCGUGCCUAAUACAUGCAAGUCGAGCGAACAGACGAGGAGCUUGCUCCUCUGACGUUAGCGGCGGACGGGUGAGUAACACGUGAAUAACCUACCUAUAAGACUCGGAUAACUUCGGGAAACCGGAGCUAAUACCGGAUAAUAUAUUGAACCGCAUGGUUCAAUAGUGAAAGACGGUUUUGCUGUCACUUAUAGAUGGAUCCGCGCCGCAUUAGCUAGUUGGUAAGGUAACGGCUUACCAAGGCAACGAUGCGUAGCCGACCUGAGAGGGUGAUCGGCCACACUGGAACUGAGACACGGUCCAGACUCCUACGGGAGGCAGCAGUAGGGAAUCUUCCGCAAUGGGCGAAAGCCUGACGGAGCAACGCCGCGUGAGUGAUGAAGGUCUUCGGAUCGUAAAACUCUGUUAUUAGGGAAGAACAAAUGUGUAAGUAACUAUGCACGUCUUGACGGUACCUAAUCAGAAAGCCACGGCUAACUACGUG
This 497-nucleotide ribosomal RNA is filed under the name uncultured bacterium. RNAcentral describes it as "partial 16S ribosomal RNA". It matches the Rfam family "Bacterial small subunit ribosomal RNA", at positions 28 to 507 of the family's 1533-position model. The record is from RNAcentral.